GAACUUAUUGGCAAGGGAUAUUUCAUGAAUGUGCUUUUCCAAGGAUGAUAUUUACUCACUGGACUCUGAAUUCGGAUACCUGUGACUUCCCUAAAUGUGGGAAACUUGACUACACAAUUUGUUGUAGAAAAAGUUUGAAUUAACUUUUU
This 149-nucleotide small nuclear RNA is filed under the name Sorex araneus (European shrew). Its description in RNAcentral is "U1 spliceosomal RNA (ENSSARG00000019456.1)". It matches the Rfam family "U1 spliceosomal RNA". From Rfam's summary of the family: U1 is a small nuclear RNA (snRNA) component of the spliceosome (involved in pre-mRNA splicing). Its 5' end forms complementary base pairs with the 5' splice junction, thus defining the 5' donor site of an intron. Lineage: Eukaryota; Metazoa; Chordata; Mammalia; Eulipotyphla; Soricidae. The record is from RNAcentral.